UCGGUAGUAUAGUGGUCAGUAUC
Molecule: non-coding RNA, 23 nt
Filed under: Bombyx mori (domestic silkworm)
Lineage: Eukaryota; Metazoa; Arthropoda; Insecta; Lepidoptera; Bombycidae
Source: RNAcentral